Molecule: ribosomal RNA, 524 nt
Filed under: uncultured bacterium
Lineage: Bacteria
Description: bacterial SSU rRNA
Rfam family: Bacterial small subunit ribosomal RNA
Source: RNAcentral
CAGUGGGGAAUUUUGGACAAUGGGCGCAAGCCUGAUCCAGCCAUGCCGCGUGCGGGACGAAGGCCUUCGGGUUGUAAACCGCUUUCAGCCGGAAAGAAAUCGCUGUUUUUAAUACAGACAGUGGAUGACGGUACCGGAAGAAGAAGCACCGGCUAACUACGUGCCAGCAGCCGCGGUAAUACGUAGGGUGCGAGCGUUAAUCGGAAUUACUGGGCGUAAAGCGUGCGCAGGCGGUUUUGUAAGCCAGACGUGAAAUCCCCGGGCUUAACCUGGGAACUGCGUUUGGAACUGCAAGACUAGAGUGUGUCAGAGGGAGGUGGAAUUCCACGUGUAGCAGUGAAAUGCGUAGAUAUGUGGAGGAACACCGAUGGCGAAGGCAGCCUCCUGGGAUAACACUGACGCUCAUGCACGAAAGCGUGGGGAGCAAACMGGAUUAGAUACCCUGGUAGUCCACGCCCUAAACGAUGUCAACUGGUUGUUGGGAGAGAAAUCUUUCAGUAACGAAGCUAACGCGUGAAAGUGAC